CUUCUGGUUUUCCUCACUGAGCACGGCAGCUGAGCCACUGCCAAACCUCGCUUCAGACACGCGCUGCAGAUAUCGG
This is a long non-coding RNA of Hippocampus comes (tiger tail seahorse), 76 nucleotides long. RefSeq lists it as uncharacterized. Lineage: Eukaryota; Metazoa; Chordata; Actinopteri; Syngnathiformes; Syngnathidae. The record is from RefSeq and is a predicted model, not a curated record. The transcript is spliced from 3 exons.